CCCUGGGUAGUGUAAAUGGUUAAUACCAUCAGCUGCUAACUGAAAGGUUGGAUGUUCAAGUCCACCCAGGGU
Molecule: transfer RNA, 72 nt
Filed under: Loxodonta africana (African savanna elephant)
Lineage: Eukaryota; Metazoa; Chordata; Mammalia; Proboscidea; Elephantidae
Rfam family: tRNA
About the family: Transfer RNA (tRNA) molecules are approximately 80 nucleotides in length.
Source: Rfam by way of RNAcentral